GAUGAACGCUGGCGGCGUGCCUAAUACAUGCAAGUCGAGCGAACGGACGAGAAGCUUGCUUCUCUGAUGUUAGCGGCGGACGGGUGAGUAACACGUGGAUAACCUACCUAUAAGACUGGGAUAACUUCGGGAAACCGGAGCUAAUACCGGAUGAUAUUUUGAACCGCAUGGUUCAAAAGUGAAAGACGGUCUUGCUGUCACUUAUAGAUGGAUCCGCGCUGCAUUAGCUAGUUGGUAAGGUAACGGCUUACCAAGGCAACGAUGCAUAGCCGACCUGAGAGGGUGAUCGGCCACACUGGAUCUGAGACACGGUCCAGACUCCUACGGGAGGCAGCAGUAGGGAAUCUUCCGCAAUGGGCGAAAGCCUGACGGAGCAACGCCGCGUGAGUGAUGAAGGUCUUCGGAUCGUAAAACUCUGUUAUUAGGGAAGAACAUAUGUGUAAGUAACUGUGCACAUCUUGACGGUACCUAAUCAGAAAGCCACGGCUAACUACGUG
This 497-nucleotide ribosomal RNA is filed under the name uncultured bacterium. Its description in RNAcentral is "partial 16S ribosomal RNA". It matches the Rfam family "Bacterial small subunit ribosomal RNA", at positions 28 to 507 of the family's 1533-position model. The record is from RNAcentral.